Long non-coding RNA from Thamnophis sirtalis, 413 nucleotides. RefSeq lists it as uncharacterized. The record is from RefSeq and is a predicted model, not a curated record. NCBI's taxonomy places the organism in Eukaryota, Metazoa, Chordata, Lepidosauria, Squamata, Natricidae.
CUGGAUGAAAAAUGGGGCAGAAUACAGUAUAAGCGGCCUGACAGAAAAGCAAGGCUGGUGUGUGUCCGACUGCUCUCUGGUUUGGGGAUCAAAGGUUAAGGGCUUCUGCAAUGCCUGGAUUAAAUUUUGACAGGUGAUGGAAACUGAAGGUUUAGCCAUCUAUUCUCAUUCCACGACCAUUAUUGGAGACCAUUAAGAAAAUGUUCUUGCUUUUGACUUGCUGCCUUACUUUCAACUUCUGGUUUGGCUGCUAUAGAAACAGACUUCUGGGCAAAUGAGCCUUUUUAUUUGAUCCAACACAGCUCUUCUUAUGCUCAUAUGUUUUUCAUCAGAUAGAAUCCAGAAUUUUAUCACCACAAUCUACCAUCUGACUCUGCAUAAUGUGUAGAUAGACUUCCAAGCAUUCUUUCUUU